AGAGUUUGAUCAUGGCUCAGAACGAACGUUGGCGGCGUGGAUUAGGCAUGCAAGUCGAACGAAUCCCAGUGGGGGUAACUCUGCUGGGGGAAGUGGCGAAAGGGGCAGUAAAGCGUGGACAACCUGCCCUCGGGACGGGGAUAGCCCUCCUAACGGAGGGGUAAUACCCGGAGACGUGGCGAGGGGGCAUCCUCUUGCCACCAAAGGAGUUUCGCCCGAGGAGGGGUUCACGUGCUAUUAGCUAGAUGGCGGGGUAACGGCCCACCAUGGCAAAGAUGGCUAGCAGGUGUGAGAGCACGACCUGCGCCACUGGCACUGGGACACUGGCCAGACUCCUACGGGAGGCUGCAGUCGAGGAUCUUUGGCAAUGGGCGCAAGCCUGACCAAGCGACGCCGCGUGUGCGAUGAAGGCCUUCGGGUUGUAAAGCACUGUCGAGGGGGAUAAAACCGCAAGGUUGAUAGAUCCCUGAGA
RNAcentral lists this ribosomal RNA (472 nucleotides) under uncultured Gemmata sp. RNAcentral's name for it is "bacterial SSU rRNA". It matches the Rfam family "Bacterial small subunit ribosomal RNA", at positions 8 to 485 of the family's 1533-position model. Lineage: Bacteria; Pseudomonadati; Planctomycetota; Planctomycetia; Gemmatales; Gemmataceae. The record is from RNAcentral.